Cyprinus carpio (common carp) is the source of this 738-nucleotide long non-coding RNA. RefSeq lists it as uncharacterized. The record is from RefSeq and is a predicted model, not a curated record. NCBI's taxonomy places the organism in Eukaryota, Metazoa, Chordata, Actinopteri, Cypriniformes, Cyprinidae.
UCGGAUCUUUAACAACAUGAAAGCGAUCAGAAGAUGUAGACCCUUCAUAGGACACACAACAGUUCGUAUCAAUAUUAAGGGAUGUGUUUGAGCAGAAGCAGAUCUCUGGGACGUGUGGACAGACUUUCACUGUAAUGAUGGACAUCCACUCGUGGACAGAAGUAUAACCCCUGCUGGACAUGGUGCCGGGGCUCGGGGGGGACCCGAAUCGUCCCCAUCCCUUCAUUCACACAACACUCACUCAUAUCGCGGAGAUCUGGCUGGGAUUGAACCAGCAACCUCUGAACCAUGAGGCAGUGCUCUUACCUGUGAGCCACAGAUCUCUUGUCUGAAUGUGUGAAGGAACUUAUAUUUCACUAUUUACCUGCAUGUGCUUUUAUAAUAAACUAGUCAAAGCUAUCAGCUGUCUGAACACACCGAGGUGGGAUUUGAACCCAAGCCUCAAUCACAGCUAGAAACAUGUACUUAACCACUAACCCACAGUGGUUUUCACGUGUUGUGUUUGGCUUUUGUGGCACUUUGUUGAAUGUAACGACAACCAUUUAAAGUAAGCAAUAGUGAGAUUUGAAUUCAGGUCUCCUUGAUGAAAGUCCAGCGCUUUAUCUGCUAAGACACUGGAUCUUUGGAGUCACUUGAUGUUCUGGAUGAGGUUUUAUUAAGAACUUUGUUUAAACUAAUGAAGAACAAUAGUAUUUGUGGGAUUUGAACCCAGACGUAGGUGAAUGAAAGGCCAACGCU